UAUUAUUUAAAAUGUAAAUAUUAAUAUUUAAGUAGUAAUAGUUAUGUUCUUGAAACUUAAAAAAUUUGGCGGUAUUUUAGUCUAUCCAGAGGAACCUGUUUUGUAAUCGAUAAUCCACGAUGGACCUUACUUAAAUUUGUAAUCAGUUUAUAUACCGUCGUUAUCAGAAUAUUUUAUAAGAAUAAUAAUAUUCAAUAAUUUUUAUUAAAAUUUAUAUCAGAUCAAGGUGUAGCUUAUGUUUAAGUAAUAAUGGGUUACAAUAAAUUUAUUUAAACGGAUAAAAUUAUGAAAAAAUUUUUGAAGGUGGAUUUGGUUGUAAAAUUAUAAAGAUUAAUAAUUUGAUUUUAGCUCUAAAAUAUGUACACAUCGCCCGUCGCUCUUAUUAUUAAGGUAAGAUAAGUCGUAACAUAGUAGAUGUACUGGAAAGUGUAUCUAGAAUGA
This 441-nucleotide ribosomal RNA is filed under the name Drosophila mojavensis. Its description in RNAcentral is "partial 12S ribosomal RNA". The record is from RNAcentral. Lineage: Eukaryota; Metazoa; Arthropoda; Insecta; Diptera; Drosophilidae.